AACGGAAGGGCCCUGCUUGCAGGGUACUCGAGUGGCGAACGGGUGAGUAACACGUGGGUGAUCUGCCCUGCACUUCGGGAUAAGCUUGGGAAACUGGGUCUAAUACCGGAUAGGAGCUCCUGCUGCAUGGUGGGGGUUGGAAAGUUUCGGCGGUUGGGGAUGGACUCGCGGCUUAUCAGCUUGUUGGUGGGGUAGUGGCUUACCAAGGCUUUGACGGGUAGCCGGCCUGAGAGGGUGACCGGCCACAUUGGGACUGAGAUACGGCCCAGACUCCUACGGGAGGCAGCAGUGGGGAAUAUUGCACAAUGGGCGGAAGCCUGAUGCAGCAACGCCGCGUGCGGGAUGACGGCCUUCGGGUUGUAAACCGCUUUCGCCUGUGACGAAGCGUGAGUGACGGUAAUGGGUAAAGAAGCACCGGCUAACUACGUGCCAGCAGCCGCGGUGAUACGUAGGGUGCGAGCGUUGUUCGGAUUUAUUGGGCGUAAAGGGCUCGUAGGUGGUUGAUCGCGUCGGAAGUGUAAUCUUGGGGCUUAACCCUGAGCGUGCUUUCGAUACGGGUUGACUUGAGGAAGGUAGGGGAGAAUGGAAUUCCUGGUGGAGCGGUGGAAUGCGCAGAUAUCAGGAGGAACACCAGUGGCGAAGGCGGUUCUCUGGGCCUUUCCUGACGCUGAGGAGCGAAAGCGUGGGGAGCGAACAGGCUUAGAUACCCUGGU
This 713-nucleotide ribosomal RNA is filed under the name uncultured Propionibacterium sp. RNAcentral's name for it is "bacterial SSU rRNA". It matches the Rfam family "Bacterial small subunit ribosomal RNA", at positions 65 to 791 of the family's 1533-position model. Lineage: Bacteria; Bacillati; Actinomycetota; Actinomycetes; Propionibacteriales; Propionibacteriaceae. The record is from RNAcentral.